This 457-nucleotide ribosomal RNA is filed under the name Proasellus nolli. RNAcentral describes it as "partial 16S ribosomal RNA". It matches the Rfam family "Archaeal large subunit ribosomal RNA", at positions 1953 to 2666 of the family's 2987-position model. Lineage: Eukaryota; Metazoa; Arthropoda; Malacostraca; Isopoda; Asellidae. The record is from RNAcentral.
GCCCUAUGAAUAAUUUUAAUGGCCGCAGUAUCUUGACUGUGCGAAGGUAGCAUAAUCAUUUGUUUUUUUAUUGAAAACUGGCAUGAAAGAGGCGACGAAAUAUAAUCUUUUAUUUUUAUAAAAUAAAAUUAACAUAAAGGUCAAAAGGCCAUUUAUAUCCCAAAGGGACGAUAAGACCCUAUAAAAUUUUACUUUUUAAUAAAAAUAUUGAUUAGACAUAAUUUUUUAUACUAGAGUUGGGCUGGGGCGGUAAAAAUAAAAACUACUAAUAUAUAGAAUAUACAUAUAUAGCUUAAUAGGACUUAAAUAAAAUAUAGAACAAGUUACUUUAGGGAUAACAGCAUAAUUCUUUCAGAUAGUUCUUAUUGGCGAAAGAGUUUAUGACCUCGAUGUUGAAUUGGAAGUCCUUAUAUAAGCAAACAUAUAUACAGGCAGUCUGUUCGACUGUUAAAUUUUC